UACGAAGGGAGCAAGCGUUAUUCGGAAUCACUGGGCGUAAAGGGCGUGUAGGCGGUUGAUUAAGUCAGUUGUUAAAUUCCUCAGCCUAACUGAGGCCAAGCAAUUGAAACUGGUCGGCUAGAGUACAGAAGAGAAGAGUGGAAUUCCACGUGUAGCGGUGAAAUGCGUAGAGAUGUGGAGGAACACCAGUGGCGAAGGCGACUCUUUGGUCUGUAACUGACGCUGAGGCGCGAAAGCGUGGGGAGCAAACAGG
This 253-nucleotide ribosomal RNA is filed under the name uncultured bacterium. Its description in RNAcentral is "partial 16S ribosomal RNA". It matches the Rfam family "Bacterial small subunit ribosomal RNA", at positions 524 to 776 of the family's 1533-position model. The record is from RNAcentral.